AUUUGGAGUUGUGAUUUGUUUGUUGAAGGCUCAAUAUGUUAUACUUUUAGCCUUUGUUCGUUUUCACAAUGUUUAAAGUGAAGGAUGGGUCCAACAUGAUGAUAUUUGGCCCUUGGUGUAUGGUGACAUAAGGUGGAUGUUCUUGCUCUGCUAAGUCUUGAGGAUGAGCUUUGUGAUUCCUUUACUUUGAAAAUUUUUCCAUGCCGAGCCUAACCAACCUAUUUUCUAAAGAUCCGCAUGAUUCUUAAGAUAAGUAAACUUUGAUCUGUGGAGUCUGUUUCAUGAGUAAGCAUAUGGUUGUGGUUCAUUUGUGCAUAUGAUUGGUAUCUUUCAUGAGGUUUUCGAAUUCACUAUGUUCUUUAUAACUCUUGUGUGUGAAAAGCUUUUAAGCAUAUGUCAUGUUCUUGAGAGAAAAAAUUCGGAGUGCAUAACCUUUGUGAGUUGAAUUUGAACUUGUUUGGAACGUGUCGAGCUUAAUUUCACCUUUGUUUCUGCCAUGUCUUACUUGUUACAUCGAAAUCUCAUGUUUAUUAACCAUUGAAUUUAUCUUUCAAUUUCGAUUCUUGUGUUAUUCUUGAUGCUAUGAAUUUGAAGGUCUCUGAGACAAUUUCGUUGAAGGCAUUAGAUUGAGUCAUUGUAGUAUUUUCGAGAUUUGUUUUGUUGUUUUUGUUUUAGUAGUAGCAAAGGUUAAGUGUGGGGUUGUUGAUAGGAGCACAAAGUGUGACGUUCUUAAUAUGUUUAUACCCUUUAUUUACCCUUUGUUAACUCAUAUUUAGUUGUUUUAGCUUUAUAUUUGUGUUUAGUGUAGAAUAAUUGCUUAAUUUAGAAAUAUGUAGUUUUUAGUAUUAGAAUACAUAGUAUUUUCGGAUUUGAAUAAUUUGGUGUUGAAAUUGUGCUGAGUGUUGGAAACCCUUGUUUACUCAGGAUUCCUGUCUUGAUCAAGAUUCCAUCUUUCCUCGAAGCCUAGUCCAUGAAGGAGAGGUCCAAACCAAGUCUAACAUGGAGAAGAAGAUCUAAAUUCGGCAGAAUUUCAAGAAUAUCCAAGCCCUUGAAAAUCCGGAUUAAAUCGGGAGAAUUCCUGUGCACGUCUGUCACUUCAACGGACUCUCCAGGACAUCUCACAAUGAAUCAGAA
Molecule: long non-coding RNA, 1134 nt
Filed under: Fragaria vesca (wild strawberry)
Lineage: Eukaryota; Viridiplantae; Streptophyta; Magnoliopsida; Rosales; Rosaceae
Description: long non-coding RNA (FVES_LNC004958)
Source: RNAcentral